UGGGGAAUCUUGCGCAAUGGGCGAAAGCCUGACGCAGCCAUGCCGCGUGAAUGAUGAAGGUCUUAGGAUUGUAAAAUUCUUUCAGUAGGGACGAUAAUGACGGUACCUACAGAAGAAGCCCCGGCUAACUUCGUGCCAGCAGCCGCGGUAAUACGAAGGGGGCUAGCGUUGCUCGGAAUUACUGGGCGUAAAGGGAGCGUAGGCGGACAUUUAAGUCAGGGGUGAAAUCCCAGGGCUCAACUCUGGAAC
Molecule: ribosomal RNA, 249 nt
Filed under: uncultured bacterium
Lineage: Bacteria
Description: partial 16S ribosomal RNA
Rfam family: Bacterial small subunit ribosomal RNA
Source: RNAcentral